Molecule: non-coding RNA, 1075 nt
Organism: Nicotiana tabacum (common tobacco)
Lineage: Eukaryota; Viridiplantae; Streptophyta; Magnoliopsida; Solanales; Solanaceae
Source: RefSeq, a predicted model, not a curated record
AAUGGAGUUAUGUUGGUCUCUUCCCUUCUUGUAAGUCAUUCGACUCUCUCUCUCUCUAUAUAUAUAUAUAUGUGUGUGUGUGUGUAUUUGAGAGCGUGUGUGUGAGAGAUCUCCUUGUCAAAAUGGGGUUCUUGAGAUUCUGUUUAUGUGUUUUGUUUCAAUGCAGUUCCUUAAUGGUGUGUUGACCAAAAGCAAAAAAGGAAAAAACUUUACAUGUAUAAUAAACAUUAAGCUCCAGUAUAGUGUAGUUUUCAUGGGUUUUGUUGCAAAUUUUCUUCUAAAAUAAAAAUAAAAAGACAAUCUUUUUGUGGUCUUAAAUCUUAGCCAUUUCAGUUGUUUAGCCUGGGACUGUUUAUUUGUCUCAUAAAUUAGUUUUCUUUGUGUACUUUUAUGCCUUUAAAUUCCAAUCUUAUACUAUGUAUAUGAGGCAUAAAAAUGCACUUACCUCUGUUAGUUUAUAUAAGUGUCCUCAAUUUUGCAAUGAAGGAUUGAACUAAAAAGAGAAGAUAUUUUGGUUUUAUCUGUAAACUUUGUGUGAAGAUUCUUUCUCUAAUGUUUAUUAUUCUAAUAUUCUCCAUGUCAUUGCACAUUUCUAUCUCUUUAUUUGUUUUUGUUGGAUACAAGUAAGUUGGCUGCUCGGGAUUGAGGUUUCUUAUGAAAUGAGACGUGGUUGAAGUAUAACAUCACUGUUGAUCUUUCAUAAAAGUAGGUGCAUUGAAUUUAUUCAUGCUGCUGUAUUGAGCAAUAGUAUUUUGUAAUAGCACAACCUGACAUAGGUCUUGUGAUACAUGGUCUUGUGAUACAUCUCUUACUUAGAGAGAAUGCACCAGAGUGAAAAUUCUAGCACAAUUAUUGAGAAGCUGCUUAAUUGAAUAACUUUUGUAUAGGCUGUUAAAAAUGGUCGAGAUCCAACACCAAGUGAGUUGCAUUUGCACGUCCAUACACAUAGUACUGAUGGAACAUCUUUUGUUGCUGAGAAAUCCCGAAUCGUACAUGAGAUAUUACAACAACAAACGCAAACUCAAUAUGAUAUUAAUCAGUGUAAAGCAUUUUAUCAAGCCGCGGGAGGAGAAAA